CGGAAACUUAGUGGAUCACGCGAGUGUAGGAAGCGUUUACUUUGUCACAGGUGGACAAUUUACCGAUUCUUUCAAGAAAGCGACUCUGAGCUGUUCUUGCUUUUUUGUUCCAACUUAUUCUCAUGAGACCCUCAUCGACUGUCGCCAAAUGCGCCUCUGGACUGAAGGAGCCGAAGUGACUGAUCAUGUUUUGAUCAUGUUUGGACCUGUCUGUUGGAGUGGACCAACAUGGAGACUCUGAGACUCUGAGAAAGUCACCAGAUAAGGAAGAGAGUGUGGUCAGACGGAGAUAAGUCGACAAAAAUGUUUUAUAUUUAUUGAUCCUGUCCUCAAUACAAGUGGUAUGAGGAAUCUGUCUCUCCAUAUGGACGUUUAUGAACCUGGAUGUCUCUGGACCGUUCAGAAGUCUCCAUGCUGAGGACAACAGAGUGAAGGAUGUGACUGAAUCUGGAUCCAGAUGAUGGGAUAUUGAAGGAUGAAGAAAACAGAAGUCUCCAUGCUGUUUCCGGAAAGGAUGAAGAAAACAAUGACCUCCUUCUCUACUCAAAGGUAGGACAUAUUUUGAUAUUAUUAUAAAGGUGGGCCUGCUGUGACUGUUUAUGCUGCUCUGGCUGUGUGUUCAUUUGGUGAUUGUGGACUCCACUGUGACUGUGGAUGAAGCCUCUCAUUCAUUUGUCAGUCUGUGAAAUGUGAAGGCCAACUGUCUGCAGUGUAAAUAGUUCAGAGAAAUGACUAAAUGCUCUGUGUUUUUGCCUGUUUUCAUAUAAACUUGUUAGCAGUGUGUGCUGGUGUUUUUCACAGGUGUGAUGAAGUUACUUUAAAAUGCUUCAGAGCUCUGUGCAGGGCUUUUUAUACAUCAAGGUAACCUUUAAGCUACUGUUACAUGCACCACAGCUGUGUGUGUGUAUGAGUGUGUGUGUAAUGCUUUCUUCAGCUGGAGGCAGCCUAACUGAUUUAAUGAGCAAUUUGGAGUUUCACUGUAAAUGCUGGUGUGUACUAAGACUUGCACCUGGGCUAUUUGCAGUACCCUUUUGUUAUCAAGCUGUUUGCAAGUUCUGUAUCUGUGUGCACUGCUGUUUGUCCCAGUUUUUGGUGGAGUUGUUGAGCUUGUAUUUUGGAUAUGAUACGAAGAGAUCUUACUUAUUUGUUCAUUUUAUAUUAUUUUCUUGUCUUAGUCCAUCAAGUUUGACUCUUUCUUUUUAUCAUUUUUAUCUUUUUAUCUCCGGUGUUUCCCGAAGGUAGCUCUUUCCUCACGCAAUGGCUCGGUGUCAGGCCAUGUCUCUUUAACAAUAUAUCUUAAAUUCUCGCUCUAUGUGCGCUUGUGUGUGUGUGUGUAUGUGUGGGUGAAUAAGGGUGAAUGUGUGUCUUUUUGUGUGUGUGGGUCCAUAGAUGGGAGGGUCGGAUUUUAUUGUUGUUUUUAGCCUCUGUGUGGCAUUUUGAACUACAUUUUUGUCUGAAAAGUGCCAUAUAAAUAUAGUUGAAUUUGAGUAUCUUUAUAAUUAGCUUUUAAAUUAAUGUCCAAGCUGCAUUCAGGGGAGAAUAUAUUUUAAAAGUAUAAAUAUAUUUUACCACCACAGGUUGUUUUUAGGCUCUCCUCACACGAGGACCGCCCUGUAUUGUCUUGGCGUCGGCACCAAAACAUGUAUCGCUCUGUACGCAUCGUAUUGUACAUAGGCUUAGUGCAUUUACAGGACAACGCAAAAUCCAGUAGUACAUACACCCGGCAUAUAAGGUCACGGUCUUUUCCGGACUUAUCUAUACCAACUACGGCAUGGAGAAGAUGCAGAGUCAUGGUCAAAUACGCGUCUCUGUGUGUCAAUAUCACCAGAUCGAUAGUUUAUUUUACCGUGUCUUACAAAUUCGUACUCGUGUAAAGACGGCCUUAAUGUGUUGCCAGCUUAUGUCACAAACUUUGCUGAGGUUAAAAUGUGUUCUACCUCGAGAAUUUCUUCACUGUCAUCAGUGUUAUGGUAAUAUCUUUAGCUUUUACUGUUGCCAUUUUAGAGGGAUAAAUUUAGGUUCAAAGUGAUUGAAAAAGAGGCAAAUGCUGGCGCUGUUGUUUGAUUUCAGUCCAUCAAAUAUAUAGUGGACUGGUGCUGCUGUAAGGCUGGCUGUGGAGAGGAUGGAGCAGCUUGUUACUGCUGAUGUUGGUUUCAAAUGUCUAUCUGUUCAACCACAGUACAGAUUUCAUUGUGUGUUUAAACUAUCUUGUUUUCGUGUGUGUAAAACAGGCAGUAAAAGAACAGAUUUAACAAAAAGUUCAACCAUGAAGAGAAAGAGAGAAAAAAGAAAAACAGAAAACACAAAAGAAGUACAAACCUUGUACCUUAACAGCAACAACUGCUUCAGCCAGUGCCGCUGAUCAAAUGUCUGGCAGUGAGGGGGUCAGUGCAGUGCUGUCUCCACUGUGGGCAGACAUCCACAGUCACCCACUAUUGUGCAAACAAGAAGUCUUCUGUCAGUCCUGUGUGUGUGUGUGCUGUAUGCCCACUCCUGUAUUUCCAUUCUGUGGUUUAACAGCAGAGAUACAGUAAAGUUUGUGUAUCUUAUUAUCAGUAUAUUGUGUGUGAGGUCAAAUACUGCAGCUGUUUCUACUAUAGCAAGUAACACUGAAGCACAUUUCCUGAGUGUUUGUGUUUUAUAUUACUGCCGACACAAGCCUUUAAGCUCACCUGCUGUCUCCCAACACUUCCUCCACUUCCUCUUACUAAACACUUAAUACAGAAUAAGUUGUUGGUUGUUGCCUCUGUUUGUUAUCAGAUUAAGUGACUUAAAAAUGUAGAAACCAAAGAGGGGAAAACAAAAAAAAAGGAAUCAAAAGUUCUCUGUUGUAUUUCAAGCAGACGGCACUCAUAUCCACCUUCUACAGAAGCUCAAUUUUGGGUUUUGGCCACCAGUCAAAGAUAACAGCUGUACACUUUGCAGGUUCAGUGAACUCCGGCAGCCCCUGGCAGCAGGUUACUCCUGUGGGAGGGGAUCAUAAUUAGAAACGUUUUGGAUCAUCUCGAGAAAAAGAGCAGAGAUUUUGAAGGAAAGAAAGAAAAGGGUGUGGAGAGAUAAUGUGGUAGGAAGAAUGAAUUAAAGAAAGGAGUGCGUGUCAGGGGCUUGUAGAAAUGAAACGAAUGUCCACUGGGGUUCUAUGGCCUCCAGUGCUCCAUUUUUUACCUUCAACAGAGAUUUUCACUACAGUCUUAAACACAGUAAUUCUUUGAGUGACAGAUAACCCUGAAGGCCUGACAACCAGCCCCACAGGGAUGUUUCCCUUACUGUAAAAAGACAAUUAGACCAACUUACAGGCGUGAUUGCGCUGCCCUCAUCACUUCCCUUUGUUUUAUUGUCCUCUCACGAAGAAGUGAAACUCGCAGCCUCAAGCCACAUAGACAGUUAGAAUAUAACAAUAAGUGUCACUCUCUCCCUCUUUUCCUUACCCCUUGUCACUCCUUUGGUAUUUUCUACAUGGCCUCAGGUGAUGCAGUAGAGUGACCCAUUAGAAACUCACUUUAUUCACCAACUAACAGCUUAACUCGCAUCAGUAACUCCUAAUGCCCCGGGGCGCUUCUGCCACUGCCCUACUCCUUCAAGAGACAGAUACAUACACUGCAUGGAAUUUUGAUAUGUUGGUGCAGGAGUCGCCAAUUAUAACUGUUAUCUUCUCCACGCUGCUGCAAAGAAUGGUUUGGAUCGGUGUUGAAUUGAGAGAGGGGCGCGAGACGACACCUCAGGAGAAAAACGGGAUUUGAAAACAUUGAGUUACAUGAUUUGAUUUGGUACAAAUUUUGGUGUAACACAAUCCAAAGCUGAUUCAAGCAGAAACCUUUAAUCAACAGUGCAUCAAAUUAAUGAAUAAUUAAGAGGUGUCGUAAUGAGGAACCCGAAGACAAUUCUCACUCAAGUCAUGAAAUUCUCUGUCAUUAAUGACAAACUCAAACCCACAGCACUAACUCUGCUUUAAUUUAAAGAUGUAGCUUUAACAAACAUGCUGCAGCAGAAAAAGCAAAUUCAGAGGACAGAGACCAGGUUAACAAAAUAUAACAAAGACAUGAUGCAACCGUAGUCCUGAAACUGCCAAAGCUCAAAGCAUAGAAAACUCUGUUAAGGGUUUUCUACGUAAUAUUUUCAAGUUCAGCCUUGUGACAAAAAAGGAAAUCAAUACAAGGAGUAUUUAUCUGUGUCUGUUUUGAGGAUUUUAACAUGGCAGAAAAUAUCAUGUAUUGUUGCAAUGCCAACUCUUAAAAAUAGUUCAGUGAGAUCCCUUUUCAUCAGAUGUACCCUUUCUGAUAUGUGUGUCACGAGAAUUCUCCUCAGUGCUCAAGAGGGUAUGUAUGAAUGAGUGCACCAAAUGGUAAAUUAGAUUUGAAUCAUGAUCAAAGAUGCUUGUCAGUAACACAAAUUAACACAGAGUUGAUCAAAACAGUCGCAUUUGGAAAUGGAGUUUUAGUCCACCUUGUAAUAUUAUAUGUCAGUUACAUGUUCAGCUUUUCUAACACUGUGAAAGUAUCACCAGAAAGUUCUGGUUAUACUUUCACAAUACAGGAUCCAACAGAGCAUUGGUCUAAAAGAGGUCUAAUAGACGUCUAAAUGUAGCCUAGAUGACUGGUCUAAAAUCAGGCUACCACUGGACUAAAAAUUAAAGUUAUCUAGAUGUCUUAAUUUAGACCAUGUUUAUACUAGCUGGCUAACAGAGCUAUAUCUGUAGUACACUGUAUAUUGUUCAACGGCUCUAAUUAUUUUGGCUAAGUACUUGGAUAAGAAUAAGAAUAAGAAUAACUUUAAAGUGCAACAUCUCCUGCUGCCAAGGCGGACUGUACAGGUAAUUUGGGGAGCACACUCCUCAUCCUGCUAGAGACUCAGCACUUUGUUUAAGGACACUUCAGCGAGCUGAAGGCUUUUCAUCAUGUUGGUUUCUAGCCGGUUCUUAUACUUGACAGAAGAUGUCCCCCUCCACUUCCCCACCUAUGCUCUACAUUGUAUCUUCAGUGGGGUUCAUUUUGUCUUAUAAAAGCAUUUUAAGAGGGUUUUGUCCUUCUUUGAGAGAGCUCGAAUAAAAAUAUGUGAUAUUCUUUGAGCUAAUGUAAGAAUAUUAGCUUGCAAGAUGUACUUCAAGGAUGCAGUUUGGAAGUAAUAGCAGAUACUAUCUUCUCCUGCAGGCAUGUUGCACUAAUGAAGUGAUCCUCCACCAGCUAAAAGAUUAGUGUCAAUAAAUGCACUCUCAUUUCAACCUUUGGAUUGGACAUUUGAUUUGUGUUGCAGCUUGGUGGUAAACUGCUUUUGGCUGAAGGUGCGAUAUGUAAGACAUCUACUGAAUUAAAUCACAAGAUAAUCUUGAUGUAUUAUGAAACAUUAAGGAAACUUGCUUUAAUGAAAUCCUGUCUUCUCUGACCACAAUACUGAAGCCGGCAUAUCUCUCCUAAAGUUUUGGUGGUCAGGAACAGUCUAUAUUUGUUUUGACUUGUGAGGGUAGGCACUUUGAAGGCAACCCCACACUCCUGUUUUGGAUGCCCUUCCACUUGCCAGAUAUGAGAUCCAUCUCAGAGGAGCUCCAUGACAACACCAGAGCAAAACUAUCAUAAAUAUUAGAAAUGUUUUUUUUUUUAUUUGGAGAUGGAGAGGUUGGAGUGCAGAACUUGCCAAGAGUAAGCAAUAAUAUCAUGUGGUAACCCAAGUGAGUGUCAGCUCUAUGGGGAGGAGAAAGCACUGGUGCUUUAUUUCAUAGUAUUGGUAAAGCAUGAUCUCACAUGUCGAAUUAAUGAGCUGAAAGGAGUCACAUUUCACUUAUGCCUGUUGACACUGUAGCAAAAACAUGAAUAGGAUCUCAACCUUCUGUAACAAUCGGCUUACUAUACAUUAAACACAGUAAAACCAGGAAUUUAUGAGAAGACUGUGUGAACUACUCAAAUCUGAUUGGUCAGUCAUUACAUUUAAAAGUCUGCUAUAUAAAAGAUCGCUGUUAUGUAGGGUUGCAAAGGGGUGGAAAAUUCUGGGUAAAUUUCCAGAAACUUUCCAUGGGAAGUUAAGCUGGGGAACUUUGGAAAUAUUCCAAAUUGAAAACUUUCCAUGGGAAUUUACAGAAUUUAUGGGGAUUAACUGGAAAUUGGGGGUAAUUUAAACAAACUGUAUCAUAUCCAAGCAUAAAUGUAAAUAUUUUUGUUUUGUCAUAAGCAGACGUUCAUGCAAAAUAAUACAGUUAAAAAAACAUGAACUUUUACAAAAGCUUGUUGAAACACUAAUGCGAUGGCAUGAACAGAUAUAUAGUUGGUUAAACAACUGGAAUGGUCUUCAAAAUAUUUGACAAUUCAUGUAUACAUUAUUGUCUGGUUACAGAAAACUGUCUUGCAGGAGUCAGAAGAAACAGCAUCACAUUCGAGGUAGCUACCACCACCAUAAUAAACUAGCCCCUUAAAUGGUCAAUAAAAUGAAAAAUGGCUUACAUUAAGCAUCUGUAUGUAUUAUUUUUUAAGUUAAAUAUUAAUACUAUUAUAGAUCAAAUAUAUUUACACCAUAAUAUUAUCAAAACUUAUUUGACUUUAUAUAGUUCAUGGGCUCAAAUACCUUGUGCUUUGGGCUCGAAAGUGUGGCCUCCAGGGUUCAAGAAAUCAUCUGUGUAUGUGAUGGAGAAAAGCACAGUGCAUGUAGGGGGUGUGGCCUCAGUAGCCCUGCAGUACGCAGUGUGCUGUGUGCAUGUGAUUGAGGAGUGUACUUGCAUUAAAUCUGGUUGUUUUAGCCAAGAUUAUGCUACAAUGUAUUUUCCCCAACUAUAUUUAAGUUCCCUGUUGUGGGCCAACCUUCAAUAAAUUUCAGAUUUAUUUCCGUUAAAUCCCAUAGAAAGUUUCCAACUUUGAAAAUUCCUGGAAUUUUGCAACCCUACUGUUACAUAAACCAGAUUAUCCCUGCUUUAAACCAACCAAGGUUCUGGCUGGCAUAUAAUUUUAUCAGCAGAAAGAAGUUUGUUAUGUUUAAUGUCAGCAGGUUCAUAUAUGUAAUAUGAGUCAUUUUUCAUUGCUGCCAUGCAGAAAAGAAAGGAGGUAAACACAGAAAAGCUCUAUGAUGUAGAAACCAGUCAUAUAGUAGAAGUUACAAGUUAACACGUCUGCCGUAUGUCAGUUUGAAAGAGUGUUUAGCAAUAAAGGAGAGGCUGUCAGACCUUGACAGUUACGAGGCAGAAAAUCUCAAUCAGGUGCUGCGGUGAUUCAUGCACUUCUGUUCACCUAAUCCUAGUUCAUUAUCUGCAGAGGUGUUCACUUAAACAUGAGUAUUUAAGACUGAGAGGGCUUCAUUUCAGAAGGUUACUGCUUUCCCACUGCUAUAACAACACUUUGAAACUUAAAAUAAGAGGAACAAUUUCUUGAUGAAAUCAUAUUUCAGUCUAUCAGUGAAUGUGUGAAUCAUUGUUUUGUGUCAAACUAUUGAUAUAUUUGGUAAGAGGGUAAUCUGGAUGGUAUUCAGCAAACAGGUUGUCCAUGAAAACCCUCAUUUUGUUGCAAGUACUGUAACCCCUUCCAUAUUUUGAGCCCCUCUCUAAUAUCAUAAUAGUUUUCCAACAUGGUAAUCAUCAAAUGCCCACUCUUUUUUGUUUGGACUCCUCCGUGUCUGCCUUUUCCCCUCAACAAAAAGAAGAAAAUAGACUGUCUGCCUCUAAUGUGUUGGACUCAUCGACAGAUAAUACUGAGGCAGCGGGGUGUGGUUUUUGUGUCUGUCUGGGUAGGAGGCGUCAGUGGAGGCACAGCGCUGCAGUCACAGCAGCAGGUAAAUUGGUAAUUAGUAAUCUUGUCUAUUUAUCUCCCCUGUUGUGAGGAUGGAGCCUCUCUCUUGGUGAUUAUGUGCGGCAGCGGCAUGAGCCUCAAGUCCUGAGUUGUUUUCGUGCAGAGUGGCAAGAUGAGCCUCAGUUGUGUUGUUUAUAUUUAAUAAAAUCAGCCGUGUACAGCAACUAUUCCCAUAUGCGCCUGCUUCUGCAGCUCCUAAAAACAUCAGACCCUGUUACUCCUCACUGAAGGUGCGUUUCAUUUCAUUUAUGUCGCUCCCCUGUCCUCCAACGACCCUUGGAAAUUGAUUGGGUCCGCCAUCAUAAAUGACAUCUCAAUUUUCUUAAUUCUGCUCGGAGGAGCGAGAAGAGCAGAGGCUUGAUUAGAGUAAAGGGAUCGUCCUAAGUGGAGACCUUUAUCAGAUAGGCACAUUGGAAAUGAAUUAAUGAUUAGAUGGAGUAAGUGAUCUGAUGCGUUAGGCUGCGCUGAAAUUGCCACACCACAGCUGUUAUAUCCAACUAGCAGCUUGGACAGACAAGCAAGGUGGAGUCUAUUAUCAAGUGUUAUUUGUUUGUCUAAUUUAAGAUAUUAGAUGAGUGUUAAGUAUAAUUAGGGAGCCAUAAAAUGAACCUUUACUAUCUUCUAGUCUUCUUUUUUCCUUAAGCUCCCCCUUUAUUACUCAUUUUAAGUGCAUGCCUCAUUGUCUUGGAAACCAGCAGAGUCCUUUCCCUUAUUUUCACCCUGUAAAGGAAAACUUAAAGGCAGAUUAAGUAUUGAAAUACUUUUGUUUAAAAUGUUGAAAAUCUUGACAAAUCUUGAUAAAUUUGUACACUGUUUAAUUUUUUUACUCUGUUCUAUGUACUUUUCACUCAAAACUAGAUUAGAAAACAUUUGCUUUAGAGCGUGAUUCAGAUUGUGUUUUCAUGUGUCUCCUACGAAUAGAUCCACAUUUUUCUUGGGUAUUUUCCUGGCUGCAUGGCUCCCCUUUAAAUCCAUAGGCUAUCUAGCUCUACUACUGUAUGCCCUGAAUAAGUAGUCUCACCUUUUGAAAACAGCAGUUGUAUUUUGUCGGUCAAUUUGUGUACCUGUAGUAGCAGAGCCCACAGUUAGUAAUGGACAAGGACAUUGUGGAAACUGUGAGAGGACUGAGAAACCCUGGUGCAAGUAUCCAUGCUAGGCCAGACAAACAAGGUGUGUUAAUGUCUGUAGGCCUUGUUGAGCCAAUUCCUGAGGCACAUUUUCUUUCCAAUCCAAAGGGCAACUUCCUUUAAACUCAAUAAAACACAACAAUCUUUUGUUCUAGCCAGUGAUCUGUUCCAGAAAAUUAUACAACUUUUAAAUACCUUUAACUGCUUUAUACCCAUAAAUGUUUCAUGUGUUCAGUUGUAAAGUAUUCUGUUCCUGCUAACAAGGGUAUAAUUUUUUCAUUUGAAAAUUUAUAAUUCAUUGGAAAAGUAAACAACAGUUUUAGGUGGUUCCUUCUCAACAAUUAAGGGAUGUGCUCAGAAUCUAAAAAAGGAACCAGAGGGCACAACUGAAACGUCAAAAUCGAGGAGGGAGGAUGCUUUUAGGAGCCCCUUAUGUAAGCCCUCACUGUGUUGGAUACUCCCUAGUUUGAAUAAAACGUUUCCAUACGGAUCUUUUCAUCAAUUUGUCAAAUUGCAAACAAUCCUAACCAGCUGUGACGAGGAUUGUAACCUCAGUGGAAAUGAUGGCAGAUCUUCACAGUAUCAUUGUGCACAAAACAUCCAUUUUGUCUGUAUUUAUUUGUCUUAUUUUUUAUACUUCUUUAAAAAAAUUAUUUUGCAAAGGGCGUGCACAUGUUACACUGUCGACCUUUUCAACUCCAUCUGCCGACCGCUGAAAAGCUGCUGGGCUGCUUUUGAGAUUUUGAAACCCCUUCUGUUCAUGUUGACUGUUCACAGCAAGAUUAAAAAGACACCCCUCUUCUGUUUGGCGUACUUAGACCCAGCUCCUUCUAUACAAAAAAAUAUGAACCCAAAAUAGGAAGGGAACAAACAAGCCAACAAUAAAAUCCAAAGAAACAAUCCACAGCAGCUCAAUCCAUCAUUUGCAUAAAAGUGUGGAGAACAUCCCUUUUCCAAAUUGCUCCUGAGAGAGCGGGCUUAGUUUGAUGAAUAAGGAUCAGCCUUUGAUUACAAUCCCUUCAAGAUCCAUUAGACACCAAACAUAAUCACUUCCUUUCAUUCCCUUUCCUCAUAUUGAUAUUUGCACAUGUCUCCCCCCCUAGGUGUCACUCUCAGGGGGAACCUAAACAACUCCUCCCAUCCUUCAGGCCUUAGACCAAAGCCGUGAAUCGUGAAGCUCUCCUUGAGAGAUAAAAGAGGAUCACCUAUUUGUGUGGAAAAUCGCAUUUAACACAGCUUAAAUAGGAUCAAUAAAGACACUCUGAAUGUUGCACUAGUGUGGUUAUGCAAUCGAGACCAACUUGUGUUUACCAGGAGUGUGUGUUAUAAAGGGCUUGUAUGGAUGUCUGUGGAGAGCAAUUUGAAAGAUAACUAAACAUGUACGAAGAACAUCUAAUUUGAGAUGUACGAACCAAGGCAUAUAUAGAUUAUUUAACUCAGGUAGCCCUUCUGAGCUGUUGUUUGAUACAGCAGUGAGAUAAAUAAACAUGUGCUCCUAAAGACACACAAGUGACAUACAUGUACAAUUUCUGUCUCCACUUACCGUAAUCAUACUUAAUGUGCUCAGAUUUCAUACAGUCAUUACAGUCAUUUGCUGAGUGAGUCAUUUGUUGUCAUUUGUUGAUUUGUGAGUGCAACCUCCUAAUAAGACAGGAA
Non-coding RNA from Xyrichtys novacula (pearly razorfish), 10543 nucleotides. The record is from the annotation of a GenBank genome assembly. Lineage: Eukaryota; Metazoa; Chordata; Actinopteri; Labriformes; Labridae.